UGUGAGCUCGAUGAGUAGGGCGGGACACGUGGUAUCCUGUCUGAAUAUGGGGGGACCAUCCUCCAAGGCUAAAUACUCCUGACUGACCGAUAGUGAACCAGUACCGUGAGGGAAAGGCGAAAAGAACCCCGGCGAGGGGAGUGAAAAAGAACCUGAAACCGUGUACGUACAAGCAGUGGGAGCCUCUUUUAUGGGGUGACUGCGUACCUUUUGUAUAAUGGGUCAGCGACUUAUAUUCUGUAGCAAGGUUAACCGAAUAGGGGAGCCGAAGGGAAACCGAGUCUUAACUGGGCGUUAAGUUGCAGGGUAUAGACCCGAAACCCGGUGAUCUAGCCAUGGGCAGGUUGAAGGUUGGGUAACACUAACUGGAGGACCGAACCGACUAAUGUUGAAAAAUUAGCGGAUGACUUGUGGCUGGGGGUGAAAGGCCAAUCAAACCGGGAGAUAGCUGGUUCUCCCCGAAAGCUAUUUAGGUAGCGCCUCGUGAAUUCAUCUCCGGGGGUAGAGCACUGUUUCGGCAAGGGGGUCAUCCCGACUUACCAACCCGAUGCAAACUGCGAAUACCGGAGAAUGUUAUCACGGGAGACACACGGCGGGUGCUAACGUCCGUCGUGAAGAGGGAAACAACCCAGACCGCCAGCUAAGGUCCCAAAGUCAUGGUUAAGUGGGAAACGAUGUGGGAAGGCCCAGACAGCCAGGAUGUUGGCUUAGAAGCAGCCAUCAUUUAAAGAAAGCGUAAUAGCUCACUGGUCGAGUCGGCCUGCGCGGAAGAUGUAACGGGGCUAAACCAUGCACCGAAGCUGCGGCAGCGACGCUUAUGCGUUGUUGGGUAGGGGAGCGUUCUGUAAGCCUGUGAAGGUGUGCUGUGAGGCAUGCUGGAGGUAUCAGAAGUGCGAAUGCUGACAUAAGUAACGAUAAAGCGGGUGAAAAGCCCGCUCGCCGGAAGACCAAGGGUUCCUGUCCAACGUUAAUCGGGGCAGGGUGAGUCGACCCCUAAGGCGAGGCCGAAAGGCGUAGUCGAUGGGAAACAGGUUAAUAUUCCUGUACUUGGUGUUACUGCGAAGGGGGGACGGAGAAGGCUAUGUUGGCCGGGCGACGGUUGUCCCGGUUUAAGCGUGUAGGCUGGUUUUCCAGGCAAAUCCGGAAAAUCAAGG
RNAcentral lists this ribosomal RNA (1154 nucleotides) under Escherichia coli. RNAcentral's name for it is "partial 23S ribosomal RNA". It matches the Rfam family "Bacterial large subunit ribosomal RNA", at positions 398 to 1555 of the family's 2925-position model. Lineage: Bacteria; Pseudomonadati; Pseudomonadota; Gammaproteobacteria; Enterobacterales; Enterobacteriaceae. The record is from RNAcentral.